GACGGAGGGUGCAAGCGUUGUUCGGAAUUACUGGGCGUAAAGGGCGCGUAGGCGGUCUGUUAAGUUCGGUGUGAAAGUCCAGGGCUCAACCCUGGGAUGCCGGUGGAUACUGUCGGGCUCGAGUCCGGAAGAGGAGUGUGGAAUUCCUGGUGUAGCGGUGAAAUGCGCAGAUAUCAGGAGGAACACCAAUGGCGAAGGCAGCACUCUGGGACGUGACUGACGCUGAGACGCGAAAGCGUGGGGAGCAAACAGG
This 253-nucleotide ribosomal RNA is filed under the name uncultured bacterium. RNAcentral's name for it is "partial 16S ribosomal RNA". It matches the Rfam family "Bacterial small subunit ribosomal RNA", at positions 524 to 776 of the family's 1533-position model. The record is from RNAcentral.